RNAcentral lists this ribosomal RNA (253 nucleotides) under uncultured bacterium. RNAcentral describes it as "partial 16S ribosomal RNA". It matches the Rfam family "Bacterial small subunit ribosomal RNA", at positions 524 to 776 of the family's 1533-position model. The record is from RNAcentral. RNAcentral also lists the same sequence under 1 other name.
UACAGAGGGUGCGAGCGUUAAUCGGAGUUACUGGGCGUAAAGGGUGCGUAGGCGGUUGAGUGAGUGUGAUGUGAAAGCCCCGGGCUUAACCUGGGAAGUGCAUCGCAAACGACUUGACUGGAGUAGAUGAGAGGGUGAUGGAAUUUCCGGUGUAGCGGUGAAAUGCGUAGAGAUCGGAAGGAACGUCGAUGGCGAAGGCAGUCACCUGGCAUCAUACUGACGCUGAGGCACGAAAGCGUGGGGAGCGAACAGG